Molecule: small nuclear RNA, 113 nt
Organism: Coturnix japonica (Japanese quail)
Lineage: Eukaryota; Metazoa; Chordata; Aves; Galliformes; Phasianidae
Source: RefSeq, a predicted model, not a curated record
GUAUUUUGGGAAAGAAGAGAAAGAUGGCAACAGACAAGGAUAGAAGAAAUCACAAAUAACUCUUAUAAUAUGAUAACAAAAUCUAAAAUUAGUUUCAGUCAUAACAGUUUUGC